This is an RNA transcript of Mirounga angustirostris (Northern elephant seal), 2979 nucleotides long. It is a transcript of the gene named aldehyde dehydrogenase 16 family member A1, with no coding region annotated. NCBI's taxonomy places the organism in Eukaryota, Metazoa, Chordata, Mammalia, Carnivora, Phocidae. The transcript is spliced from 19 exons. The record is from RefSeq and is a predicted model, not a curated record.
AGAGCGCCCCGCACUCCUUGGUGGAAAGCGGGCCCGGGAGGGUGAUGGCUGCGACGCGUGAAAGGACUAGCGCCCGAGAGAUCUUCAACACGCUGGAGUACGGACCGGUGCCUGAGAGCCACGCAUGCGCGCUGGCCUGGCUGGACACCCAGGACCGACACUUGGGUCACUAUGUAAAUGGGAAGUGGUUAAAGCCAGAACACAGGAACUCAGUGCCUUGCCAGGAUCCCAUCACAGGAGAGAGCUUGACCGCUUGCCUCCAGGCACAGGCUGAGGAUGUGGCGGCAGCCGUGGAGGCAGCAGGGACUGCGUUCGAGAACUGGAGUGGACUCCCUGGAGCCUCUCGGGCUCAGCACCUGCUCAGACUGGCCAAGAUGAUCCAGAAGCACCAGCGGCUGCUGUGGACCCUGGAGUCCCUGGUUUCUGGGCGAGCCGUUCGAGAGGUUCGAGAUGGGGAUGUCCCACUGGCCCAGCAGCUGCUCCAGUACCACGCUGUCCAGGCGUACACCCAGGAAGAGGUGCUGGCAGGCUGGGAGCCCAUGGGAGUAAUCGGUCUCAUCUUGUCACCCAUGUUCUCCUUCCUUGAGAUGAUGUGGAGGAUUUGCCCUGCCCUGGCUGUGGGCUGCACUGUGGUGGUCCUCGUGCCGCCAGCCUCCCCGACACCCCUCCUCCUGGCCCAACUGGCAGGGGAGCUAGGCUCGUUCCCAGGAAUCCUCAAUGUGAUCAGUGGCCCUGCCUCCCUGGGCCCUGUCCUGGCCUCCCAUCCUAGAGUCCAGAAGGUGACCUUCUGUGGAGCCGUCGAGGAAGGACGUGCCCUUCGGCGGACCCUGGCGGGCAAGGGUGCCGAGCUGGGCCUGGCACUGGGGGCUGAGUCGCUGCUGGUGCUGACGGAGGCGGCGGAUGUGGACUCAGCCGUGGAGGGCGUCGUGGAUGCAGCUUGGUCCGACCGCAACGCGAUUCUUUCCACUUUUCUGAGUGUGCACGUCCCUAGUUUUCCAACCUCUGUCUUCACUCUGAAUCACCACCUUCUGCAACUUCACCUCCUGCUUGGAUGUGGAGCCCUGGGGGGACUCAGGCUCCUCAUCCAGGAGUCUGUGUGGGGCGAGACGAUGAGGCGGCUCCAGGAGCGGAUGGCGCGGCUUCGGGGCGGUCGAGGACUUGAUGGGGCCAUGGACAUGGGGACUCGAGAGGCUGCCGCACGUGACCUGGCCCAGCGCUAUGUGAGUGAGGCCCGGAGUCAGGGUGCACAGGUUUUUCAGGCUGGUGACAGCCUAUUCUUCCCCCCAACUUUGGUCUCUGACCUGCCCCCGGCUUCCCCAUGUACCCAGGCAGAGGUGCCCUGGCCCGUGGUCGUGGCCUCCCCAUUCCGUACAGCUAAGGAGGCCCUGGCCAUGGCCAACGGGACGCCCCGAGGAGCCAGUGCCAGUGUGUGGAGCGAGAGACUAGGGCAGGCCCUGGAGCUGGGCUGUGGGCUCCGGGUGGGCACGGUCUGGAUCAACGCCCACGGCCUGCGAGACACUGAAGUGCCCACGGGUGGCUGCAGGGAGAGUGGGUCUUCCUGGCACGGGGGCCCCGACGGUCUGUAUGAGUACCUGCGGCCCUCAGGGACCCCCGCCAGGCUGUCUUACUUUUCUGAGAAUCUGAACUAUGACACUUUUGGCCUUGCCGUCCCCUCAACCCUGCCAGCUGGACCCGAAAUAGGACCCAGCCCAGCAACCCCUUAUGGGCUCUUCAUCGGCGGCCGUUUCCAAGCUCCUGGGGCCCGGAGCUCCAGACCCAUCAAGAAUUCACAAGGCAAUCUCCACGGCUAUGUGGCUGAGGGUGGAGCCAAGGAUAUCCGAGGGGCUGUGGAGGCCGCUCACCAGGCUGCCCCUGGCUGGGUGGGUCAGUCACCAGGGGCCCGGGCAACUCUGCUGUGGGCCCUGGCAACUGCCCUGGAGCGCCGGGAGUCUGCCCUCGCCUCGAGGCUGGAGAGGCACGGCAUGGAGCUCAAGGACGCCAAGGUGGAGGUAGAGCUGAGUGCGAGGCAGCUUCGGGCAUGGGGCGCCCGUGCCCAGGCCCAAGGCCAUGUCUUGCAGGUGGCAGAGCUGAAAGGCCCCGUCCUCCGGCUACGGGAGCCGCUGGGCGUGCUGGCCAUUGUGUGCCCUAACGAAUGGCCCCUGCUUGCCUUCGUGUCCCUGCUGGCCGCCGCACUGGCCCACGGCAACGCGGUGGUCAUGGUGCCCAGCGGAGCCUGUCCCAUCCCUGCCCUGGAGGUCUGCCAGGUACAGUUGUCUGCCUUCCUGCUACUGCUUCCCGAAGCCCCUGGGCCAGAAGAUGGAUGGAAGGUGCCCCGGGACCUGCACUUGACCCACCCCCUUGGAUAUGGCCGCCUUGUUGCCAGCAGGCCUGGUGAAUGUGGUGACCGGCGACCGGGACCACCUGACCCGCUGCCUGGCCUUGCACCAGGACGUCCAGGCCCUGUGGUACUUCGGAUCUGCCCAGUGGCUGCACCAGGUUACAUUCCCACCAGCAGACGCUUAACCGACUGAGCCACCCAGGCACCCCAACACUUCAGUCUCUUUGAUGAUGGCCAUCUUAACUGGUGUGAGGUGAUAUCUCAUUGUGGUUGUGAUUUGCGUCUCCCUGAUGAUGAGUGAGUGCACUGAAUCUUGAAGGACCAUGAGGAUCUGAUGUGGCUGGAGAGCAUCCCAGGCAGAGGGUACAGCAUGUGCAAAGGCCCAGAGGUCCCAUUCCACUCCGUCCAGUGCUCGGCCCUCCUCCUUCUGGCGCCUCUGUCCAUCUCGGACGGGCCUUCCCCAUUCAAGGCGAGGAUGAAGGCCCCAGGCUGGCCUCCUCCUUGCCCUGUGGGCAUUGCUUCCGGCUGGAGGCAGCUCCCCCUUCGUCGUGUGUCCCGGCUUCGACCCAGCUCAGGGCUCUGGGGUCGCGAGUCCAGCGGAGUCGCCCUCAGCGGCGUGAGCCAUCACCUGCCACCACCAG